AGAGAAAAUUGUUUAGUUUUGGGAGAGAAGAAUUUUGAUAAUGCGAUUGUAACAAUUUGCUUGCUUUCCAGCUUUCCCCUCUCUGUCGCCCGGUCAUCAGCUCUGACUGAGGAUACACUGAGAAGUCAAGGUCGGGAUGACCAGACGGCAUUAAGCGAUAACACCGCGUCAAUACUACUGUCUAACGGGAGGGGGAAAAACAACACAGUAAUUGGUUGAGAUCAAGUGAUUUGCAAGUCAACAACAUCUUCACUGUUUUAACUCAUUUGACCACAUCUUUUCUUCAUUUAGCUGCAAUGUUACAUCGUCCACGUCUGACGCCGAUCCUCUUUCUCAUAUAUUAUGUAAAGCAGAGAAUAGAUAUGAGUGUCCCCU
Magallana angulata is the source of this 375-nucleotide long non-coding RNA. RefSeq lists it as uncharacterized. The record is from RefSeq and is a predicted model, not a curated record. The transcript is spliced from 3 exons. NCBI's taxonomy places the organism in Eukaryota, Metazoa, Mollusca, Bivalvia, Ostreida, Ostreidae.